Molecule: long non-coding RNA, 369 nt
Organism: Humulus lupulus (European hop)
Lineage: Eukaryota; Viridiplantae; Streptophyta; Magnoliopsida; Rosales; Cannabaceae
Exons: 3
Source: RefSeq, a predicted model, not a curated record
UGCCAUAAUUUCAACCAAAUUCCUAGGCCGCUCAAUUGAAUGGGGCAAGAUGAUCUCAUCGAGGUCUACACCAUCGUCGUCUAUACAUACUGCUAACAGCAAAUACAUAUUCCAUACAUAAAAGACAGAUGAAAUGAUUUAUGAGUUUUUGUUUGGGGAGCUGACUACUCAAGCAGUGAUGGCAUGAAUUCUGGCUCAAUGAAUAUUAUCAGAGGUUUUUAAUCAAAAUUUGGGUUCAUCAUCAGCUCUACCAACUACAACAAGGGACACCAUUUUGUUGGUUCAUGGAUCGUCAUUGGAUAAAUAUUCCAAAUAAACUUUCAGCAGAAUAUGCUGCUGGAAUGAAUGAAUUCAUUAGUGUUGCAAGAC